GUAGACGAUUCUGACGCUGUGCUGACCUAUGUGCCGGCACGCCGACUGAAGGCGUAACCACUCACCCUCCCAAGCUUCGCU
Molecule: small RNA, 81 nt
Filed under: Caulobacter vibrioides NA1000
Lineage: Bacteria; Pseudomonadati; Pseudomonadota; Alphaproteobacteria; Caulobacterales; Caulobacteraceae
Description: small non-coding RNA
Source: RNAcentral